UAACGUCGCAAGACCAAAGAGGGGGACCUUCGGGCCUCUUGCCAUCAGAUGUGCCCAGAUGGGAUUAGCUUGUUGGUGAGGUAACGGCUCACCAAGGCGACGAUCCCUAGCUGGUCUGAGAGGAUGACCAGCCACACUGGAACUGAGACACGGUCCAGACUCCUACGGGAGGCAGCAGUGGGGAAUAUUGCACAAUGGGCGCAAGCCUGAUGCAGCCAUGCCGCGUGUAUGAAGAAGGCCUUCGGGUUGUAAAGUACUUUCAGCGGGGAGGAAGGUGUUGUGGUUAAUAACCACAGCAAUUGACGUUACCCGCAGAAGAAGCACCGGCUAACUCCGUGCCAGCAGCCGCGGUAAUACGGAGGGUGCAAGCGUUAAUCGGAAUUACUGGGCGUAAAGCGCACGCAGGCGGUCUGUCAAGUCGGAUGUGAAAUCCCCGGGCUCAACCUGGGAACUGCAUUCGAAACUGGCAGGCUUGAGUCUUGUAGAGGGGGGUAGAAUUCCAGGUGUAGCGGUGAAAUGCGUAGAGAUCUGGAGGAAUACCGGUGGCGAAGGCGGCCCCCUGGACAAAGACUGACGCUCAGGUGCGAAAGCGUGGGGAGCAAACAGGAUUAGAUACCCUGGUAGUCCACGCCGUAAACGAUGUCUACUUGGAGGUUGUGCCCUUGAGGCGUGGCUUCCGGAGCUAACGCGUUAAGUAGACCGCCUGGGGAGUACGGCCGCAAGGUUAAAACUCAAAUGAAUUGACGGGGGCCCGCACAAGCGGUGGAGCAUGUGGUUUAAUUCGAUGCAACGCGAAGAACCUUACCUGGUCUUGACAUCCACAGAACUUUCCAGAGAUGGAUUGGUGCCUUCGGGAACUGUGAGACAGGUGCUGCAUGGCUGUCGUCAGCUCGUGUUGUGAAAUGUUGGGUUAAGUCCCGCAACGAGCGCAAC
This 933-nucleotide ribosomal RNA is filed under the name Salmonella enterica subsp. enterica serovar Braenderup. RNAcentral describes it as "bacterial SSU rRNA". It matches the Rfam family "Bacterial small subunit ribosomal RNA", at positions 173 to 1102 of the family's 1533-position model. The record is from RNAcentral. Lineage: Bacteria; Pseudomonadati; Pseudomonadota; Gammaproteobacteria; Enterobacterales; Enterobacteriaceae.